RNAcentral lists this ribosomal RNA (437 nucleotides) under uncultured bacterium. RNAcentral describes it as "bacterial SSU rRNA". It matches the Rfam family "Bacterial small subunit ribosomal RNA", at positions 954 to 1392 of the family's 1533-position model. The record is from RNAcentral.
AUGGGAACGCGAAGAACCUUACCUAGACUUGACAUCUUCUGCAUUAAUCGUAAUGGAUGAAAUCCCUUCGGGGACAGAAUGACAGGUGGUGCAUGGUUGUCGUCAGCUCGUGUCGUGAGAUGUUGGGUUAAGUCCCGCAACGAGCGCAACCCCUAUUAUUAGUUGCUAACAUUAAGUUGAGCACUCUAGUGAGACUGCCCGGGUUAACCGGGAGGAAGGUGGGGAUGACGUCAAAUCAUCAUGCCCCUUAUGUCUAGGGCUACACACGUGCUACAAUGGUGGGAACAAAGAGAUGCAAUACCGCAAGGUGGAGCCAAACUCUAAAACUCAUCCCAGUUCGGAUUGUAGGCUGCAACUCGCCUACAUGAAGUUGGAGUUGCUAGUAAUCGCGAAUCAGAAUGUCGCGGUGAAUACGUUCCCGGGUCUUGUACACACCG